Molecule: non-coding RNA, 253 nt
Organism: Phoenix dactylifera (date palm)
Lineage: Eukaryota; Viridiplantae; Streptophyta; Magnoliopsida; Arecales; Arecaceae
Source: RefSeq, a predicted model, not a curated record
AACCGGGAUCGCAUGCGGCCCUGGCCGUGGCAUAAGCAUUGGAAGCUCGGCAGGGAACGGCUCAAGUGUGAUAGUGGAGGAUGUACAUGUCUCAAACGGCAGUUUCUAUCAAUCGGAUGGUGGUCUGAGGGUUCAGACAUUGCAGGGAGGGUCCGGUCAUGCUAAAGGGAUCUUAUUCGAGCACAUCAAUUUUACUUCAGUCGGGAGCCCCAUAGUUAUAGACCAGUUUUAUUGUCCCGGCGCGCACUGCAAA